RNAcentral lists this ribosomal RNA (460 nucleotides) under uncultured bacterium. RNAcentral's name for it is "partial 16S ribosomal RNA". It matches the Rfam family "Bacterial small subunit ribosomal RNA", at positions 338 to 795 of the family's 1533-position model. The record is from RNAcentral.
CCUACGGGGGGCAGCAGUGAGGAAUAUUGGUCAAUGGACGAGAGUCUGAACCAGCCAAGUAGCGUGAAGGAUGACUGCCCUAUGGGUUGUAAACUUCUUUUAUAUGGGAAUAAAACGUUCCACGUGUGGGCUUUUGUAUGUACCAUAUGAAUAAGGAUCGGCUAACUCCGUGCCAGCAGCCGCGGUAAUACGGAGGAUCCGAGCGUUAUCCGGAUUUAUUGGGUUUAAAGGGAGCGUAGGUGGGUUGUUAAGUCAGUUGUGAAAGUUUGCGGCUCAACCGUAAAAUUGCAGUUGAAACUGGCAGUCGUGAGUACAGUAGAGGUGGGCGGAAUUCGUGGUGUAGCGGUGAAAUGCAUAGAUAUCACGCAGAACUCCGAUUGCGAAGGCAGCAUACCGGCGCCCAACUGACGCUGAAGCACGAAAGCGUGGGUAUCGAACAGGAUUAGAUACCCGGGUAGUC